Molecule: ribosomal RNA, 759 nt
Filed under: uncultured bacterium
Lineage: Bacteria
Description: bacterial SSU rRNA
Rfam family: Bacterial small subunit ribosomal RNA
Source: RNAcentral
ACGGCAGCACGGAGCUUGCUCUGGUGGCGAGUGGCGAACGGGUGAGUAAUAUAUCGGAACGUACCCUGGAGUGGGGGAUAACGUAGCGAAAGUUACGCUAAUACCGCAUACGAUCUAAGGAUGAAAGUGGGGGAUUCGCAAGAACCUCAUGCUCGUGGAGCGGCCGAUAUCUGAUUAGCUAGUUGGUAGGGUAAAAGCCUACCAAGGCAUCGAUCAGUAGCUGGUCUGAGAGGACGACCAGCCACACUGGAACUGAGACACGGUCCAGACUCCUACGGGAGGCAGCAGUGGGGAAUUUUGGACAAUGGGCGCAAGCCUGAUCCAGCAAUGCCGCGUGAGUGAAGAAGGCCUUCGGGUUGUAAAGCUCUUUUGUCAGGGAAGAAACGGUGGGAGCUAAUAUCUCCUGCUAAUGACGGUACCUGAAGAAUAAGCACCGGCUAACUACGUGCCAGCAGCCGCGGUAAUACGUAGGGUGCAAGCGUUAAUCGGAAUUACUGGGCGUAAAGCGUGCGCAGGCGGUUUUGUAGGUCUGAUGUGAAAUCCCCGGGCUCAACCUGGGAAUUGCAUUGGAGACUGCAGGGCUAGAAUCUGGCAGAGGGGGGUAGAAUUCCACGUGUAGCAGUGAAAUGCGUAGAUAUGUGGAGGAACCCCGAUGGCGAAAGCAGCCCCCUGGGUCAAGAUUGACGCUCAUGCACGAAAGCGUGGGGAGCAAACAGGAUUAGAUACCCUGGUAGUCCACGCCCUAAACGAUGUCUACUA